Danio rerio (zebrafish) is the source of this 3074-nucleotide non-coding RNA. The record is from Ensembl. NCBI's taxonomy places the organism in Eukaryota, Metazoa, Chordata, Actinopteri, Cypriniformes, Danionidae.
GCUUUGUUGUCAAAGGCAUGGUUUGGUUACGGUGUAUGGAUGAAAAGUGUCCAUGAAGGCCUAAACGGGUUCAGAGGAGAGAUGACUGGAAGUCCCGAAGCCUAUCUGCUAACGUUACCUGUCUAAAACCAAGGAAGCAGGCAAUCAAUCAUCAUGAUCCUAAAGUAUGAAGGGAUGAUGAAAGGGGGUCAGAAAGGGUCUAUUAUUCCCAGGACACCGAAGAGAGACACAGACAGUGAGAUGAGCCAGCGACCUGACUUCUACUGAAAGCGAGAUGAAAUCCUCACCUGUCCAUCUGUAUCACAUCAGGGGGAAAACUUCCACACACACACUUCUGCCAAAAGAGGUAGAAUAUCACACAAACACACAUAGACAGACGUUGAGCCUGAAUUUUUUUUCAGGAAAUGCCAAUCACUGCACAAUACUUCACUGCAGGUUCAUCACAAAUAUAAUUUACAGUUUGUUUAAAUUGCAGAAAUGUAUUAGUAAAUUAACACAGCGUAUUAAAUUGAUCAAAAGUACAACACGUAUUGCAAAUAUAUGUUUUUCUAGCCUGAAAGAUUUGAUCAAAGUUUCUAUUAACGUCUUUUGUUUAGACAGUGGCACUGAGUUUAUCAGUUAAUUGUUCUGUGUAUGAGAAGUAGAACAGCAGAUUUUAAACAGCUCUGCUUUUUAUUGCACCUGUAAUUAAAAUAAUGCUGUUGAAAUAGUAAUAUGCAGCUUGGAGAAUGAAAGGCAAAGUCAUGGUGUGAUUCCUCCCCCACACCCUUUCUGCACUUGCAGGAGAAAAUUACAACCUGGCUGCACACUUAAUAUUUCAUCCUUAAGCAAGUAUGACAAGCUCUCUUUGUGUCACUCUCCCACUCGCUCCCUCCUUCCUGCGACCUCUCUCUCUCUCACUCUCUCGUCUCACUUGCUUAGCAUUAGCUAGCACACCAUGCUUUGUCAUGUGAUGAAUAUGAGAAGUGAACAAUCAGAAAAAUAAAUUCAACUCAAAAAAAAAGAAAAAAAGAAAUGAUGACAUCAUCUAAUGAAGAGAUGUUCCCUCUGUCUCGAAACCGACUCAUUGCUGGAGAGGGUGAUGUCUCAGAGCCUCAUGCACAUUUUAGACAGUGUUGUUUUGGCAAAUUCUGGGUCCAUAACAUGUCAUCUCAGAUCACUAAACAUACUCCCGCAUAUCUAACCACAGGCGAGACACGUAAACAGAUCAUUCUAGAUCAGGGGAAAGUUAACAUGCAAUCAUAACAUUUCUUAAGUUUGUAAGACAAGCCCAAAGUAUUCUUUGGCUUUAUCAUUUAUGCCAGGGGUAUAAGCUGUGAAUGCUCCGCACCCCCAAGAUAAUGAAAUAGUAACUAAUAUUAAAGAGGACCAUGAACUACGUUUUCUUUAUUUUGUUCUGUUUUCUGAUAUUCACUUGAUUAGAUGAUUAAAUAUAAAACUUUAAUGUCUGUGUGCCCUUUUAGUUACUGUGUUUCUGAAAAUCCUCUAUUCCUUUUGAAAAUUCCUUAGGUUCAUUAGGUAUGCCCGAUAGGUAUUAGCCCGAUAAUUCAUAAGGUAUUUUAACAUUCACUGGUCUUAAACUUCAGUUCGAUUAUAAUUAUCAUAUCAUUGAUUUGGUUCAACUCAACAUCAUGAUGCAUUGACAUAGCACUCCUCAAUUUGACUUAAGAUGUAUACAGUUUUGUCAUUAAAUACACAGUCAGAUGUAUGAACUGUACAUUUAAUUUUACCUGCUCAAAGAAUACACACUUCUUUAAUGUAAAAAACAUCAAAUAAAUCAAUAAUGGCAUGCUCUGCAUUGUAUUCUGUUGCUUUUUGAGUGGGAGAGUUGGAGAGUUUUUUUAAGUGGGCAGCAGGGAUUCAGGUUCUACUGUUCAGGGCACCUAUUUUACCCUUUUUUCAAGAUUUAGGAUAAGUCUUUUGUGUCUAGUUGAUAUGAUUAUACGCGUUACUAUGGAGACAUGUUAAUACGCGGGAAACCGCACUCCUAUGUCACGUUGUGGUGGGCCUCAAAAUGGAAAGGAUUUGGAUCAACAUUAGCAAAUUUCAAAAAAGAGACUUAUUGUCUUUGUCACACCAAUGUGACUGUGGACACACUCUACCUACACACAGUUCUGUCCACACAGCUUCAAAAAGACGAUUGACAUCAUAGAUGCCCUUUAAAGACUGUCCCAAGCAAGCUCACGGGCAAAUGUUGCAAUUAAAAACCUAAAAUGGUUGGGGCAUUUUUAAAUUCUCACACACAUGCCUUGCCUGCUUUUCCAUAAUCUGCUACACACACAUGUAUCUCGGAAAAGUACCAAACUAGUUUUCAAUGAAGUGCAUUCUUAUUCGUUUGUUUGUCUCAAGGGUGUUUUCUUGUGUUCAGAAAGCUGCCAGAUUGUGUUCCAGAUCUCAAUAACUAAAAAAUAAGUUUAAUGCCAAACUAAAGCAACUAAAUCAAAUGAAAAUCUAAACUGUAUUUUCAUGUUUUUUUUUCAUGCAAAGUCUGAAGUUGUCACUCUCUGUUGUCAAUAGUAGUUUGUUGUUGAUGUUGUUCCAUCUCUGUUUUAGACUGUGAAACAAUGUUCAGUUUAAUGGUGACAUUUCAUGGACAAAGUAAUCAACGCAAGAAUUUUGCAAAGUGUCAGGUUUGUGUACAGUGUAUGUGCAUUGUUUAAAAAGAUUUUUUAGUCUUUGAAACAUAUUGAAUUAUUUAAAUUAAAUUGAAUUGAAUUGAAUUGAAUUGAAUUGAACUGAAUUGUAUUGAACUUAACUAAAUUGAAUUGAAUUAAAUACUGUAUAUGUUGGGCUUUUGUUUAUCCACAGGGUGUCAACAUUUAAGCCCAUCGUUUCACAAUUUAGUAAACCAAUAGGAAGUCAAAAAGUGCAACUAAUUGACUGGCUAAUGUACAUGAACAAAGUGCAUAAGUACACUUUGUGCUUUUGAGUGUGAGUGUGAAAUUUAGUCAUACAAUCUUUGUCCAUUGUCCAUAUUUAACCAUUUUAAAUGGUCAUGUGAAACUUUUUAAUUCUUGCAUAGCGUUCAAACUGUGGGUUCUGCUUGUCUGCAAAUACAAUAUAUAUUUAACAAA